RNAcentral lists this non-coding RNA (22 nucleotides) under Arabidopsis thaliana (thale cress). Lineage: Eukaryota; Viridiplantae; Streptophyta; Magnoliopsida; Brassicales; Brassicaceae. The record is from RNAcentral.
UAACUAUUUUAAUUUUGGACGC